AAAAAAAAAAAAAAAAACCAACAGAAUAGACGUCCUCAUAAUCAAACCCCCUCUAAUCAUAUUGCCACAUUCAAUAAGGAAUUCCAAAGAUCUUGCUCAUUAUUUUUCUCUUCUCAAAACGUCAGUCAAGUGCCGAUUCCAUCCCACCCCUGUUAAGUUGUGUUCCAGCGUCUUGAGUUUUCAUUUUCCUUUCAUGCUCCCCAGAUACUAAACUCGAUCUAGGUUGUUUUGUUUGUUGCAGGAGGCAAGGUUAAGCAGGUGAACGACCAGGUCUCGGUGGUCUGCAAGGGAGGUGAUGAUGGUGGUUGUUCUGCUUCUUCAAUUCAAAAUACACAAUAAAGACAAGAUUCUAUUCUUUUACUGCCGAUGCACUUCGAUGCGAACAAGAACGUGGUUCUGGAAAUAAAGAAAAGUGAUGAUUCUGAAGAGACAUUGCUUGAAAACAAAAGGCUUGUGGUGGAGGCAGUAGAAAAGCUGGUAAAACGGAAGAAGAGAUAUUGAUUCACAUGUUUCAACUAUUUAAAUUGAAUGUCAAAGGAUGAGCCAACCGCACUUGAUAUAAAAAAGGACCCUGAAAGCAUGUGAGAUGAUGAAGAUUGUAUAAAAGAUUCAUGGGAAGAUGAAGUUGAACCCUCUCUGUGGUAGCACCUCCUGUUGUGAAGGCCCUAAAGAAGUCAACAGUCAAACCGGCUCCAAGAAAAAGGGAUACCUGUUGUUGAAGUAGCAAAAGAGGUGCCAUUUUAAACAAGCUUUGUAUUUCAGGCUCGAGCUCGGGCUCAAUAACUAAAUGAAUAUGGAAGUAUAAAUGGCUUCAUAAAGUUUUGGAUUUAAUAUGUUGAUCGACUGUGCUCAGCGACUGUGGUUUCUUGACACAUACACUGGAGGAUACAGAGUUCAUCGCGAUAUAAAGGUAACUAAGCCAUUUAAUGUUGCUUUUUCUAAUAGUCUGUGGUGAUUUUACUGUUUAGAUUUCGGCAGCCUCACGCAACUCGAACUGGGUUCGUUGUUACGAUCAUUAGGCCUUACACCGAGCCCUGAUCAACUGGAUGCAUUGAUACAGAAAGCGGAUACUAAUAGUAAUGGUUUUGUGCAUUGAUGUUGUACUCAAUAGAGUUUUCGACCAGUCGGAAACCGCAAAUGCUCCACUUGGUUGGCCAUAAUUUGGUUGUUUUGCGUCAGUUUGUUUUGUCCCUUCGUAACUUGGCAAGGGUUUGAUCCGUAUAGGGAUUGUCAGAUCCAACUGACAGGUGCAGGCAACAAAGAUUAUGGGAGUCAUAAAGGCGAUUAUUUUCUCUGGAUCAAAACAAGGGCGGGAUAUGCAGAUCUGGAAUGGGAUAAAUGGAGAACUUUUAAUUUCAGCAAUUUCCCGAUGUGGAACAGAAUAUUGGGUUUGUGCAGAAGAAAAGGGAUGAUGUGGCAUUUUUAGUUUUUCACCGAAAGACCAUGAGUCUGUUGAUCAAUUUUCACUUAAGAACUUUUUUUUACAGUAAUUCUUAUGUAUUAGCUUUGUGUUUUAACCACUUCACACAACACAACAUUUGAUGACAUUUUUCAUGAUAGUUUAACCAUGGACUGGUCAAAACGUCCGAAAGCAUUAUCUUUUCAAACUAAUUUU
This 1615-nucleotide long non-coding RNA is filed under the name Helianthus annuus (common sunflower). The record is from RNAcentral. Lineage: Eukaryota; Viridiplantae; Streptophyta; Magnoliopsida; Asterales; Asteraceae.